Molecule: long non-coding RNA, 853 nt
Organism: Cornus florida
Lineage: Eukaryota; Viridiplantae; Streptophyta; Magnoliopsida; Cornales; Cornaceae
Exons: 2
Source: RefSeq, a predicted model, not a curated record
AAGGCUUAAAAUUUAUGAAUAUAUAUAAUUACUAGUGCUAAAUGGAUUUUUUUUUUUUUUUUUUAAUUCAAUAAGAUUUGGGUAGAUUACAGUGAUCUCUCCUGAAAUUUGAACAAAUCUCACACAAGUGAAGCGUUUCAGAUUUAUUGUUUUGACCUCCUUUCAAAUUUAGAUUUAUGCCGUUAUACUUAUUUAUUUUAUUUUUUUAGAAUAUUUUUUUAGGACUGGGUAAUGGUAGUGGAGAGGAGAAAGAAAGUAAUAAGAGCGAUGAGGUAAAAAAUUGUUUGUUUUUUAAGAUUUUAUAAUAUAUAUUGUAUUAUAAAAAUAUAUUACAUGUAAAAGUAUAAUUGAUUUUUUAUUCGGAUUAACAAACUUCGAAUGCUUCACGUACGUGAGAUCUGUUCAAAUUUGAAAGGAGAUAAUUGUAAUUUACUCAUAAAAGUUUCUACCACUAAAAAUACAUUUUUGUUUCGGACUCUAAAAAUAAAAACCUAGGGUUCCACUUAUGUGACGUCUUUUGCCUUAGCCUUCAAAGAGACAGUAGGAUCUUCGAAGAAGAGGGGAAGAAAAUCUAGCUACCUUCCUCUCAUCACCAUGAGAGCUAAGUGGAAGAAGAAGCGAAUGAGGAGGUUGAAGAGGAAGCGCCGAAAGAUGAGGCAAAGAUCUAAGUGAUAGUUGCUGAAAAUAAAUUUGCAGAGUGUUCAAAUUUAAGCUGUCUGAUGGUAUUUUUCUGUUAAUUUCGAUUUCGUGAACUUUCAUAGUUUGUUCUACUAUUUGUUAAGCUUAAAUUACAUUGUGAGACUCUGAUGCAUUUGUUGAUGAAAUGCGAUUUAGUUGCUAUGUUUUGUGUUCA